GAUGAACGCUGGCGGCGUGCCUAAUACAUGCAAGUCGAGCGAACGGACGAGAAGCUUGCUUCUCUGAUGUUAGCGGCGGACGGGUGAGUAACACGUGGAUAACCUACCUAUAAGACUGGGAUAACUUCGGGAAACCGUAGCUAAUACCGGAUAAUAUUUUGAACCGCAUGGUUCAAAAGUGAAAGACGGUCUUGCUGUCACUUAUAGAUGGAUCCGCGCUGCAUUAGCUAGUUGGUAAGGUAACGGCUUACCAAGGCAACGAUGCAUAGCCGACCUGAGAGGGGGAUCGGCCACACUGGAACGGAGCCAGGGACCAGACUCCUACGGGAGGCAGCAGUAGGGAAUCUUCCGCAAUGGGCGAAAACCUGACGGAGCAACGCCGCGUGAGUGAUGAAGGUCUUCGGAGCGUAAAGCUCUGUUAUUAGGGAAAAACAUAUGUGUAAGUAACUGUGCACAGCGUGACGGUACCGAAUCAGAAAGCCACGGCUAACUACGUG
This 497-nucleotide ribosomal RNA is filed under the name uncultured bacterium. RNAcentral describes it as "partial 16S ribosomal RNA". It matches the Rfam family "Bacterial small subunit ribosomal RNA", at positions 28 to 507 of the family's 1533-position model. The record is from RNAcentral.